UAGGUUGCAGGGGACAGGUACACCAUUUUCAUGGCAGUUGAUGAUGUAGAGAAGAUACAGGAAAAUGGACCAAUAACAAGUUAUAUCCAUUGGAUUGAAUGCUAUAAUGGAGGUGAAACACUCAUCUUCACUUUUUACAUGAAAAUACAAUGAUAUCAGGGAUACUUGCAACAUCAUCAUCUCCAUGGCAUUGGAAUCAUCAAUAUGCAAAUAAAAUAGGGUUUUUGUCAAAAUGUAAUUUCUUCUUUCCUAGGAAGUCGUGAACUUCGCUAGAUGGGUUGCCUACUUGUCCCCUUCAAUACCCAAUUUUAUGUUGCUGGAUUUAUAAAUGAUUACAUAAAUUGAUUUAAUAAACAUAUGUAU
Molecule: long non-coding RNA, 363 nt
Filed under: Homo sapiens (human)
Lineage: Eukaryota; Metazoa; Chordata; Mammalia; Primates; Hominidae
Description: HSALNT0288424
Source: RNAcentral